Monodelphis domestica (gray short-tailed opossum) is the source of this 3443-nucleotide non-coding RNA. NCBI's taxonomy places the organism in Eukaryota, Metazoa, Chordata, Mammalia, Didelphimorphia, Didelphidae. The record is from RefSeq and is a predicted model, not a curated record.
ACUGGAGAAGAAACAGCAACUCAUUUCUGUAGCACGGUCAGAUCUGUCAAUCGCUUUUCUCACACCAGCCCCAGGAGACAAGGAGCACAAGUCUUAUAAGCCCCAUUUCACAAAUGAGAAAAGUGGGGCUUACUGGAAAGAAGUGACUUGCCCAGGAUGAGAGGCAGGACUUAAAUUUGGCUCCCUCUGGCUCUAAGAUGAAGAAAAUGAGCCCCACAGUGAUUAAGUGACUUGCCCAAGAUUACAAAAGCUAAUGAGUUCAGAGGCUACUCUAAACCUAGGUUUCUUCAUUUCAAGGUACAAUAAUAACUGGAAGCCACCAAAUGAUUUCUGAGCAAGGCAAUAACAUAGUUAAGCCUGUCAGAAGACAUUAUUUUGACAGUUGUGUGAAAGACUGAUUGAAGAGGAGAAAAGCAGGAAAAACCAACUAGGAAGAUACAGUGAUCACUCACCGAUUGUAGGAGUUACAUUCCAGAGACCCCUGCGAUAGGUGAAAAUCUACAAAGUAGCAGUGUUUUGUUUAUUUUGUUAUAUAUAUAUUUUAAGGCUUUAUAAACCCUUCCCACUCUCUUAUAAACCUUUUCCACACUCAUAUUAACCUACAGUCACUGUGUGCAUCAGUGCUCAGGAUUCAGAACACAAUGCUGUAGUUGGUCACCUUUCAUUCCAUCAGCCAAUAGUGUGUUGUGAUAGGUGUAAUUCCAUGACACAGAAUUAUAUAUAUAUGUAUAUAUGUGUGUAUAUAUAUAUAUAUAUUUUUUUUAACUGCAAUACAGUGAAACCACGAUAAGUGAACCUGAUAUAGUGAGGGAUGACUACUACUUCCUAACUAGUGAGAUAAUAAAGUGUUGAACUGGGGUAGUGACCCUGUGAAUCAGAUCAGAAACUGUUGUGCAAGUCAAAUUGAUGAGACUUAGUAACAGAAUGCACAUGAGGGAAUACAUAGAGGAGAGGAGCCAACUUUGAAGUUACAAACCUGUGUAACUAGAAAGACAGUGGUGCUGCUCAAAAGAAAGGGGGGGAGAGGGGGCAGAACCAGGUAGGUGGCUCAGUGCAGAAAGAGCCAGGCCUAGAAAUGGGAGGCCCUGGGUUCAAAUCUGGCUCCAGCACUUCCUAGCUGUGUGACCCUGGGCAAGUCACUUAGUCCAAAUGCCUAGUUUUUAUUGCUCUUAGUAGCAAUUCUAAAAAAGAAGGUUGUUUGGUUUUUUUGUUGUGGUUGUUUUUAAGAGAAAUGGGAAAAUUUGAAGUAGGACAAGAAUAGAGGGAAAGAAAAGGAAUUCCACCUCAGACAUGCCGAGUUUGAAAUGUCAAUGGAACUUCCAAAUAGAAAUGUCUAUCAGUCAGCUGGUGCAUCAGCUGGUGCAUUAACUAGCUGGGUAGUUAAGAAAGCACCUAGGUUGGAUUAUAUAGAUCUAGGAGUCAUCUGGCACAGAGAUGAUAAUCAGACCCCCAGGAACUGAUGAGAUUACCAAGGGAGGGCAAAGAACAGGGCCCAAGACAGAAUGCUCACACAGAAGAUGGGAGAAAGAUGAUGAUCCAGCAAAGGAGAGUAAAAGGAACAAGAGAAGCGCAGUAUUGUGAAAAACAAUGAAGUAUUAAAGAGUUGGUUGGUAGUGACAGCCAAGAGAUUUGAAAAGGAUUAAACAAAGAAAAAGUCUUUAGAAUUAGCAAUUAAACAAUAUGAUCUGGGCCAUACAUGCAAGUGGGGGGAGGGAAGGGAGGGCAGGAGAUGGCUUGGAUCUUAUAAUUUUGGAAAACAUAUGUCCAAAAUAAUUAUUACAUGUAAUUGGAAAAAUAAAAUAUCUUUGAAUAAAAAAAGAAUUAGCAAUUAAAAGAUCAUUUUUAAUCUUGUAGAGGGCAGUUUCAGUUGAGUGUUAGAAUUAAAAACUAGAUUGGAAGAGGUUGUGAAGUGAGUGGGAAGUGGAGAAACACAGGCAAUGGAGAUGAUUUUUUUCCUUGAAGUUUGGAAGAGAAGGAGAGAUUAUAAAACAACCAGAAGUGAAGUCGUGUAUGGGUAUAAAUGAAAACAAAAUAAGAACUACAAAUGAAAUUAUGUGUAUCUGUAUCUGUAAGAACAGAAAACCUGGGGGGAGCUGGGUAGCUCAGUGGAUUGAGAGCCAGGCCUAGAGAUGGGAGGUCUUGGGUUCAAAUCAGAUCUCAGACACUUCCCAGUUGUGUGACCUUGGGCAAGUCACUUGACCCCCAUUGCCUAGGCCUUACCACUCUUCUGCCUUGGAGCCAAUACACAGAUUGACUCCAAGAGGGAAGGGAAGGGAAGGGUUUUCAAAAGAAAAAAAUAGAAAACCUGAGGCACAAUAAGAGACCACUGGAUUCAAGGUUCAAAUCUGGCCUCAGGCACUUACUAGCUGGGUGCCCCUGGGCAAAUCAUUUAACCCUAAUUGCCUAGCUCUUGCUCUACAGUCUUACAAUUGAUAAAAAGACAGAAGAUAUUGGUUUAAGAAGGAAAAAAAGGAAAACCUGGCCACAUCUUUAGGCAGGUAGUCUGGAUAAAAAGGAGAGAGCCUAAAAUAUGAGACUAGAAGAAAAAGGAUGGAGUAACCUCUUGGAGAAGAUGGAUAUAUAGGUUCAAUGAUACAUGUUAGCCUUGGUCAGAGAUCACAGCAAAGAAGAGAAUGGGAACCCAUGUUUUGCAGUGUCCAGUGAGGACCAGGAACAAUUUUCUCAUUCAGCUCGGGUAAAUGCCAGACAGACAAGUCGGUGACUUAAAGGCUUUCAUUUUCUUAGCAAAGUAGGAGGCAACGGUCACCUAUGCUAAAAAGGAAGAAGCAUCCAGGGCAAAGGCUUGGGCAGAGAUUGCCACAGGCCUUUUGGGAAAUGCAAAGGAGUCCAGCAAAGAAUAAAAAUCGAUUGCACCGCAAAGAUGGUUGACAUCAGAAAGCUCAACUGUGUAUACCUCCAGUGGCUCUCCCCACCUCCAUCCCCUCCAGAAUGGAGGAAGGGGGGGUGUAGGAGUGGAGGACAGAAAUAACACCUUGGAGGGACGUUAGGAAAGGCCUCAUACUCCUACAGAAGGUGGCACCUGAGCUAUUCUUGAAGGUUUUGGAUACUAAAGGCACGUCAGGAGAAAGAAUGACCGGCAUGUGGGGAGGGGAGGGCAGCCUUGGAAAAGACCAAGAGGCUGGAAACCGAACGCUAAGUGUAAGAAGGGCCAUGAGGCCGCCCGGGGGAGUGGGGAAGGCUUCGAGGUGAGCCAGGUGAGGACACACUCAGCGCGCGUUAAGUUCCAGCCGAUCCCGUCUUUUAAGGGAGAGGUAGGAAGGGGAGCCGCUGAGGAUCCUCGAGCCAGGGCCGUGCCCUCAUGCGCUCGGCAAUUCGGUCACGAAGGAGACCGCUCCCUCCCCUCGACCGCCCUACCCUCUCCAGACCCGCUCACCCCGCCGUGUCCGUGAGUUUCUGCCCGGGCCCCGCGCUCUUGAACUUGA